AUACGGAGGGGGCUAGCGUUGUUCGGAAUUACUGGGCGUAAAGCGCGCGUAGGCGGCUUAUCAAGUUAGGCGUGAAAGGCCUGGGCUCAACCCGGGAACUGCGCUUAAUACUGGUAGACUUGAGUCCGGGAGAGGGUGGCGGAAUUCCCAGUGUAGAGGUGAAAUUCGUAGAUAUUGGGAAGAACACCAGUGGCGAAGGCGGCCACCUGGCCCGGUACUGACGCUGAGGUUCGAAAGCAUGGGUAGCGAACAGGAUUAGAAACCCCGGUAGUCC
RNAcentral lists this ribosomal RNA (274 nucleotides) under uncultured bacterium. Its description in RNAcentral is "partial 16S ribosomal RNA". It matches the Rfam family "Bacterial small subunit ribosomal RNA", at positions 523 to 796 of the family's 1533-position model. The record is from RNAcentral.